Molecule: ribosomal RNA, 498 nt
Filed under: uncultured bacterium
Lineage: Bacteria
Description: partial 16S ribosomal RNA
Rfam family: Bacterial small subunit ribosomal RNA
Source: RNAcentral
AUUGAACGCUGGCGGCAUGCCUUACACAUGCAAGUCGAACGGUAACAGGUCUUCGGAUGCUGACGAGUGGCGAACGGGUGAGUAAUACAUCGGAACGUGCCUAGUAGUGGGGGAUAACUUCUCGAAAGAGUGGCUAAUACCGCAUGAGAUCUACGGAUGAAAGCAGGGGAUCGCAAGACCUUGUGCUACUAGAGCGGCCGAUGGCAGAUUAGGUAGUUGGUGGGAUAAAAGCUUACCAAGCCGACGAUCUGUAGCUGGUCUGAGAGGACGAUCAGCCACACUGGGACUGAGACACGGCCCAGACUCCGACGGGAGGCAGCAGUGGGGAAUUUUGGAAAAUGGGCGAAAGCCUGAUCCAGCAAUGCCGCGUGCAGGAUGAAGGCCUUCGGGUUGUAAACUGCUUUUGCACGGAACGAAAAGCCCCGGGUUAAUACCCUGGGGUCAUGACGGUACCGUAAGAAUAAGCACCGGCUAACUACGUGCCAGCCGCCGCGGUAA